CACCACUCAUCAUACCAUAAAAGCUUGCCUGCCAGAUGUUGUUACCUUAACCGCAAGGAAAAAGAUGUUGAAGGCAGGGUUAGUGACUGGAGUUAAGUCAUAGCAAGGUACUUGUACUGGAAGGUACAAUUG
RNAcentral lists this ribosomal RNA (132 nucleotides) under Olea europaea subsp. europaea. RNAcentral describes it as "Bacterial small subunit ribosomal RNA". The record is from Rfam by way of RNAcentral. Lineage: Eukaryota; Viridiplantae; Streptophyta; Magnoliopsida; Lamiales; Oleaceae.